UACGAAGGGGGCUAGCGUUGUUCGGAAUUACUGGGCGUAAAGGGCGCGUAGGCGGUCUUGUAAGUCAGAUGUGAAAGCCACGGGCUCAACCCGGGAAUAGCAUUUGAUACUGCGAGGCUUGAGCCCGGGAGAGGAUGGCGGAAUUCCCAGUGUAGAGGUGAAAUUCGUAGAUAUUGGGAAGAACACCGGUGGCGAAGGCGGCCAUCUGGACCGGUACUGACGGUGAGGCGCGAAAGCGUGUGGAGCAAACAGG
This 253-nucleotide ribosomal RNA is filed under the name uncultured bacterium. RNAcentral's name for it is "partial 16S ribosomal RNA". It matches the Rfam family "Bacterial small subunit ribosomal RNA", at positions 524 to 776 of the family's 1533-position model. The record is from RNAcentral.